UGGGGAAUAUUGCGCAAUGGAGGAAACUCUGACGCAGCGACGCCGCGUGAGCGAAGAAGUCUUUCGGGAUGUAAAGCUCUGUCAGGAGGAACGAUAAUGACGGUACCUCCAGAGGAAGCCCCGGCUAACUACGUGCCAGCAGCCGCGGUAAUACGUAGGGGGCAAGCGUUAUCCGGAUUUACUGGGCAUAAAGGGCGCGUAGGUGGUUUAUUAAGUCAGAUGUUAAAGCCAGCGGCUCAACCGCUGUUCGCAUUUGAUACUGAUGAACUAGAGAUCAGGAGAGGAAAGCGGAACAUACAGUGUAGCGGUGAAAUGCGUAGAUAUUGUAUGGAACACCAGUUGCGAAGGCGGCUUUCUGGACUGAUUCUGACACUGAGGCGCGAAAGCGUGGGGAGCAAACAGG
This 403-nucleotide ribosomal RNA is filed under the name uncultured bacterium. Its description in RNAcentral is "bacterial SSU rRNA". It matches the Rfam family "Bacterial small subunit ribosomal RNA", at positions 355 to 776 of the family's 1533-position model. The record is from RNAcentral.